UGGGCCCAUGAAAUAAACAGCUACACAAGGGGUCCAAAUGUCCUGUUAUGAGCAUGUCUUCUGGAUGCCAAACAAGCGUCAUUAUCCCAGUGGAAACAUUUGGGAAAUAAGCCUUGAAUCUGUUACUGAAACAGAUUAAAGUUCAGAUUAGAGCUCAAACAAUAUGUUAUUCAAAACCAACCAAAAAACGUUUCAGAUUUCUACAUUGUCACCAAGUUGAGCUCAGCAAAUACAAAAUGAAGUGUAUUGUUAAAUAUUUACUUUCUGAGAUGCCAAAAGGGAUGGGGCAUCCUCAGGCCCGUUGUGGCAUGCCUCGUCGGAGCCGUUCCACGGACAGUGCCGCAUCCCGCUUCCACCGAGCGUGUUUACCUUCCUUGGUUAACUUUUUACUACUGCAGAGCAGAGGCUUUAGGGAUGAGAUGCAGACGUGCUGUAGAUCAACAGACUCUUCUUCCUUGACACUUAUUUUUUUUUUCAUUUCCAGCAAACUAGCAGCUGCUUAUUGUCUUGUCUAAUCGGUACGACCUCUUCGCCUGGACUCCGCGGCGCCUGCAGAAGCAGCGUUCGCCUCCCGGCCGCGGCUGCUUUCCCUCUCGCACAGAGGCAGAGACAAGUCUCCACUGCAACUGACAGAGUUUCACUUUGCAAAUCAAUGAGGCAGUGCUACAAGGGCAGAAAAGUGUCGCCGGUGAACUUCAUGCUGUUCAGAGCUGCCAGACUGACGGCCCUGACUGACUGCUGUCUUCAUGGAACUAACCCAUGCUAAAUGUCCGAACUGCUCUGUGGCUCUCACCACCCACCCAGGCUCUUCCCUAGUGGGACCUUCUGGGGUAGUUCAGGCUCCAACCAGCAGUACGUUGUGGAAAUGUGUCCUCUCCCAAGUGCAAUCACCACUUUCAGGCCCAGCUUUCCCUGGGGGACUCGGCUUUCUUUGGGGAUAAGUGCUUCCAAGGCAGUGAAAAUGGGGGCUGCUGGUCUGUCCUCAGGAGCUGGGGGGACAGAGAGGCUGACGUCAGUGGCACACAGGAACAGGAGCUGUAAAGAGCAAGACAUUCCUAAUUAGGAAUGCCAAAAUCUGCCAUGAGGCAAAACCUGAGAGGUGGCUGGAAAUGAGCUGUGAUUCUGCAGCGUGAUCCAUAGCAGAGCGGGAAUCAGCCAGGUGAUCAGGACUAGAUGUCCGGUCUUGCUUCAGUUACGUUGGCCAUUAACAAUACUUCUCACGAGCAAACUGGACCUGCUGUUCCUGAACUCACCACAUGUGGCCACUGCCACUUGAGCGGUGGCCUCCAGGAUGAAUCACGCAAUCCUACAUGUCUAUCUGUGUAACAAAUGGGACUGUGGAAAGCGAACCUGACUAAUGUCCCCUACAAGGAGAAAAUGAUAACUGAUGCUUUUUAAUUACAAGUUUCCUGCAUUAUGGUCUAGUUUUUCAGCUUAUAAUCAUUAACGGUAUAAUACAGACUUAAGUAAAUUGCUGCCUUUUCCUUUUUUGUAACAUAUAUAUAGGUCAGAUUUUCAUGUUCAAUGGUUAUUAUCUCUGACACUAAUUAGUGCACUGACUGGCUGACAAAGGUCACAUCUGUGUUUUCUUCAUUGCGUACAAACAUGUGCUCACGCCAACUGAUUCUCCUAAUUGCCGUGUCUUCUGGAGUCAUUUCCACUAGGGCAAAAUCACUCGUUUCACUUGGUAACUGCUUUACACCCACUUUGUACUGCUGUCGGUGAAAGACAAGGUUGAGGGCAAAGGGGUGUCAGCAGUCAUCACAUCCACAGCACGUGUCCCCUGUUCUGCACUUCCUAAGUCAUAGCAGUCGCGCUUCGUGCAUCCUUGACUUCUCAAGCUCUGUGCAGUUGCAGUCAAAGGGAUGAAGUUGUUGCCUUUCCAUGAGGAAAUGAAUGGAGCUUUUAUUCCCUGUCUUGACCAAAGCACUUAGAUGGUUUUAGCCCCAGUGGAUUGUUUCUAAUAGCAGGCAAAAUUGAUCACUCAGGUACUUUGAUGCAGCCCUUUUAUUUACAAAGAAAGUACAAAAUUCCGUUUCCUUGAACAGAAGAGGAAUCAGACAAUAGGAGACACUUUCUCUGCGUGCGAUUUCAAUCCUUUCAACCAGCACUUCAUCCAGAAGCGCUCCACCAGCUUUUUUUCUCAAGGUCGUUCCUGUAGAGUUUAUCUGGUUCUGCCUGGUUUUGAUAGAAGGCUGCUCCUGUCAGACCAUAGGAGCACACAGCUACUCCAAGCACUGCCCUCCUCCCCGCGUCUUCAAAGCCCAAUGUUUCAGUCAGGAGAAACCCUGAAUGCAUCAGCUUCUCCCCCAGAGAGCUGCACAGAAAAUCCUGUUCAAGAAAGCAAGCAAACCUGGACGUCGUGUGUUUCCUUGCAACAUUGUCCUGGACAGUUUCCAAUCUGUUAAUGAAAGAACACCGACAUCUAAACGAUCCCCAGGGGAGGUUCAAGAUCCAUCUGAGUUCAGUAAGAGGUUCCUAAAUAGCUGUAAGAAACCCACACUUCAAAAGAAAUACAUUUUGCUAUUUUUAAAACAUGUGAUUUUUGGAAGGCUUUGAAUAUCAAGAUUAAUUCUCUGUCUAAACACAGUAGAAGGCAGCACUGACUGGUGAGUCUCACUCCAAUCUGGAGGGUUUCAAUAUUGUCUGGAAUCUGGAUUUGAUGUUCUAAAAGCUUAAGGUAUGACAAUGUUUAGUUUACUUUUUUCCCCAGAGCAGACUGUGCAUGUACUUACAGAUUCUUUAGUAUAUCUCACCAGAUUAAUGUGAAAAAUAUAUUACAUUAUCUAUCAGCACUUGAAAUUUUGACUUGAGGAUGCUGGUUGGAUAGAUUACUGAGCAAUGUUUAAUUGAAAGAUUUAAUGAUACUCUAAAUAAGACAUGACUCACUCUUGAACAACAGGGAAGAGCUCCUGUAUGUGAGAAAAAAGCCAAGGUCGUUUGGAGCCAGAUGUUGCUGCACAGCGUGGUGCUGCUUGCAGCAGGUAGCAAUUUAAGGUGUCUGUGGAAGCUGAGCAGAAGGGUCUGGGCAGCCGGGCAGGUUUGGAGACUGGAUUGUGCACCAGGUCACUAAAAUGACAAAGUGAAGCUGAGUGGAGUAUUCUCAGUGGAGAAUAUAGACAUCUACCGAGGAUGUCCGAGCUACGAGGCUGCUCUGCUUUCUAGUACGGUCACCGCGAGUCCUGUUCUGAACUGCUCGUUGGAGGUGCCUGUCCCUUGUCAUUGCCUAUAAUAGGUAGUCUAGGGAGCACAGAUUCCCUGUUUAGCCACCUGAGUGAUUAGCACAGUGGGAUGUAAUUUAAUAUGUCUCUGUGCUGAGGUCUUCACCCUAAAGUGCGGUACAGUUAAUAUUACUGGAGAGAGGGAGAAUGCAAAGUCCAGAACGAGAAUUCGGUUGUGGAGGCACUGAGAACAUUGGGUUUCAGAGCCUGGGUCCAAAUCCGUUAGAGAAAUGGACCACGACAGAGCUGUCACUCUGUGACAGAGAAGGGAAGGAAUGAAUCUUGGCUGUGAUUAUUUUGCGUGAAUGGACACAAUGCUCUGUCAGAGGCAGUUCUUUGACAUGGGAAAAUAUCAGUCCUGUGUUUGCUUUGAAAGCCGUGCUAUUGUUUGUUUGUUCCAGGGUCACCUCAGCAAAGCUUAGUGUCUCGCUUGCCCUAUUUUAUUCCAAAAUGCUGGACUGACUGGCAUAGACAUCUGGGUUUAUCCUAUGAUAUACGGAUAUGAGCCACAAUGAUGCUACUGCUCAGUUAAAGGUUACUAAUUACUGUCGCAGAGAUUGCAGUUCCUGACACCUUGGCAAAAUUAAUGUGAGUAAAGGUUUAAGCAACAUUCAGGUUUGAAAUCGCACUUUCUAGAUAUGCACAACAGCCUAAAUGAUAUCCACCUUACAAAAACAAUACAUGUUGUGUACACCUUCAGAACAUGGGAAAUGCCCUGCCCGGGGGUCCAUCUAUACCAGUUCUCCAUCUCAGCUGGAGAAACCAGACUCUUCAGUGUCCUACCCCUCUUUGGUAACUAAGAAUUCACUUCAUGCUGCGGUUUUUCAUUCCAUUUUACCAGGUGUACGUUCAGCUCCGGAUCAGAUGUUAAUGCCCUCAGAACAAAGACAUCUGAGCAAGAUGACGCUACUUUUAUGAUGGUAUUGAUGUUUUGACCUCAUGCCAGCAUGAUCCAGGAACAAUUCCCAUUAAGGCUAUUGAUCUUUGUAUUUUGUCACAGUUGCACUCUGAAGUACUCCAGCACUCAGCCAGCGUAUAUUCUCACAAAGGUCUCUGCGGAGGGAGGAGUAUUGACUGCUCCAUCAUGUGCAGAUCAAAUUUCAGGCUUUUAAAGUUUUGUGCAUUUGCCAGGUACACUGAAAUACAGAUACCAGCUCUUGCAACCUUCAUGUGACUUUGGCAGCAUUCACGUGGCUAUUCUGCAUGGCACAUGGACGCACCUCUCCCUCCAGGAUGGGAGGCACCACUGCCAUAGGUACGCACCAGCCGUUUUCCCUAUCUGGAUUCAGUGUCGGGUGAGAUUAGCCUGUGUGAGAAGCAUCAAGAACGUUCUGCAGGCCUGAGAGACACCACUGCAAACUCACAGCAAGCAAACUGUGGAACCUUCCCUGGGAACAGGUCUGCCUCCGGGGCUCACCUUGGCAGCACAGUUCUAGCUCUGUACACUCUGCUGACCUUGUUUUAGCCUGUUUUGGGAAUCCACUUUACCCCUGGCAGCCCCGAGAAGAGCUGUGCUGCUGUCCUUCUGCUAGUACAUCAGCCCACGGCUGCAGGAGACAGACAGAAGUUAGAACCUCCUCUGUCUCUGGAAACGUGUCUUCUCUGAGCGUGUGCAAGGACUUGAUGUGAGGAGUAGUACAGAGCUGCUCUCCACAGAUACUGGCAACCUAGAAACCCUUAAUAAAUUAAAAAAAAAAAGGGGGGGAGAGAGAGGGAAAGAGGAAGAUCACAAGCACAAAUGAGGAGGAGAGGAUCUAUCCUCAGCUCAGCUUUGAAAAUGAAGCAGCGAUAAAAAAAAAAACCCCGCAGAAUAAUGUUCUUUAGCACGGGAAGCAACAAGAGCUCAGAGCUUCUGCAGGUCCCAGGGGGAUUUCAGAAGCCGAGUUGGAGCUGGGCUCAGAGAUCUGUCUGGGGAGGCUCUCCGAGGAGGGCUGGGACCAGCGGGUGAGGAGAAGUGAUGGGUUGGAGGCCAGGGUGGGCAGAUUUGCCACUUGGAGAAUUCAGGUCCAAAGGGAAGCUCAUACUCCCUUCCCUACAGUGAAGCCACUGGGCAGGGAAAGAACUGGGAGGUGCUGAGGGUGCUAUUGUUUCAGUGUUUGAACAAGCAGAGGACCAGCACACAAGCACUGUGAGAGGAGUGUGGCAUUCAGGAAGCUCCUACUCUGCUCCCUACCCACCGUCGGAACCAGCUGAAGCCCACUGGGAAGCCCUGGCCUUUUGAGUGCUCGCUGGGGUGCCGUACACAUUGGGUGGGCUGGGGCGCUUGUUUGUUUGUUGCGUGCUAAGCCUCUUUCCAUCACGUUGAAUGUUGUACAGAUGACAAACAAACAACAGAAAAGCUGUUCUCCCACACCAAGCCAUGUAUGCCAGGGUUCACGCAUUCAGGCACAGCUGCUGCCUUGUUUGUUUUAAAGCUUUUCAGCACAAAAUUGUGGGCAGGCCCAGCCUGCAGUUCUCGGGUCUUCCCCGGGAGAUCUGACGGCAAUGAGAGGUUUGUGAAAACCAUGUGGAAACCCAAAUCUCAUAUAAUAUUCUUUUCUCACAAAAGUACAAGCUUUAAACUGUCCUGAGCCAUGAAAUUCUGAUGCGGGCAUUACAGAGAAAUGAACUGAGCCUCACAGUAGCUCUGGGAAAGAAAUAUUACUUCUUAUUUUACAGCCUGCUCAAGAACUGCUUUUAAAAGGCAUUUAAAUGUCUCCUUCACGUAUUCCAAAAGAUUAAAGUAAUUUUUUUCAAAAGCAGCUCCUGACUAUAGAUAUCUGUUUCUAGAACCUGCAGGCCUGUUGUUUCUCAGAAUGACUGCAUAUUUAUACAUAGGAUACUGAAAUAUUAAAAAUAAAUAAGCAUUACUUUUUUCUCUUGUCUU
Long non-coding RNA from Chroicocephalus ridibundus (black-headed gull), 6087 nucleotides. RefSeq lists it as uncharacterized. The record is from RefSeq and is a predicted model, not a curated record. NCBI's taxonomy places the organism in Eukaryota, Metazoa, Chordata, Aves, Charadriiformes, Laridae. The transcript has 8 exons.